UCAAAGGUUGUUAAGUCAAAGAGAGAUUCUCAAAGGUUGUUAAGUCAAAGAGGGAUUCUCAAAGGUUGUUAAGUCAAAGAGAGAUUCUCAAAGGUUGUUAAGUCAAAGAGGGAUUCUCAAAGGUUGUUAAGUCAAAGAGGGAUUCUCAAAGGUUGUUAAGUCAAAGAGGGAUUCUCAAAAGUUCGUAAGUCAAAGAGGGAUUCUCAAAGGUUCGCAAGUUAAUUUUCUCAACUUAUUUAAGUUACGAGCUCCACCAGGGGUUAUGAUUUCAAAGAUGGCCGCCCUAAGACACUACUCUGCGGUAAAAAGUCAGAUGUCUCUCUGAUUAUGUUGUGUUUAUUUCUUCUCUCUCUUUCUCUCUCUUUUCUCCUCUCUUCUCGCUAUCCCCUCUUAUUUCCUUCUUCUCUACCUCUUAUUCUUUCCUUCCUCCUUUUCUCUUGUUCUUCCUAUUCCCUCCCUCCCUCUUUUUCCUUCCUUCCCUCCAUAAUAUUAUCGAGAUAUCUAUCACUAGCUAUGACGUCAUCGAGGUCUUUACCACUUGCUAUAACGUCAUCGAGGUCUUUACCACCUGCUAUGACGUCACCAAGGCCUCUACCACUUAUGACGUCAUCGAGGUCUUUACCACCUGCUAUGACGUCACCAAGGUCUCUACCACUUGUUAUGACGUCAUCGAGGCGACUUCAAUUGUUCUAUGGCGUCAUGGAGGUGUCAUUGACGUCACAGGCACCAAUUUGGCAUUCGUCCAGCUGAACACUUACCAGCUCCUGACUUACUAAGGUUCACACGAUCAAUAUUCCUUUGUGAGUUGGGAAGACGUAAAAA
This is a long non-coding RNA of Homarus americanus (American lobster), 822 nucleotides long. RefSeq lists it as uncharacterized. Lineage: Eukaryota; Metazoa; Arthropoda; Malacostraca; Decapoda; Nephropidae. The transcript is spliced from 2 exons. The record is from RefSeq and is a predicted model, not a curated record.